Molecule: non-coding RNA, 27 nt
Filed under: Rattus norvegicus (Norway rat)
Lineage: Eukaryota; Metazoa; Chordata; Mammalia; Rodentia; Muridae
Source: RNAcentral
GCCAUGAAGAUGAUGAACAAAGUGCUU